RNAcentral lists this ribosomal RNA (301 nucleotides) under uncultured bacterium. Its description in RNAcentral is "partial 16S ribosomal RNA". It matches the Rfam family "Bacterial small subunit ribosomal RNA", at positions 509 to 809 of the family's 1533-position model. The record is from RNAcentral.
CAGUAGCCACGGUAAUACGGAGGGAGCUAGCGUUGUUCGGAAUUACUGGGCGUAAAGCGCACGUAGGCGGUUAUUCAAGUCAGAGGUGAAAGCCCGGGGCUCAUCCCCGGAACUGCCUUUGAAACUAGAUGACUGGAAUCUUGGAGAGGUCAGUGGAAUUCCGAGUGUAGAGGUGAAAUUCGUAGAUAUUCGGAAGAACACCAGUGGCGAAGGCGAUUGACUGGACAAGUAUUGACGCUGAGAUGCGAAAGCGUGGGGAGCAAACAGGAUUAGAUACCCGUGUAGUCCCUGUCUCUUAUAU